AGCAGCCGCGGUAAUUCCAGCUCCAAUAGCGUAUAUUAAAGUUGUUGCAGUUAAAAAGCUCGUAGUUGAAUUUCGGGAUCAAUAUAUCGGUCGUGCCUUGGUACGUACUGGUAUCAUUGGUUUCUCCUUUCUGACGAACCAUGAUGUCAUUAAUUUGGUGUUAUGGGAAGUUAGGACUGUUACUUUGAAAAAAUUAGAGUGUUUAAAGCAGGCUUUAGCUUGAAUACAUUAGCAUGGAAUAAUGAAAUAGGACGUUCGAACCUAUUUUGUUGGUUUCUAGGAUCAACGUAGUGAUUAAUAGGGAUAGUUGGGGGCAUUAGUAUUCAAUUGUCAGAGGUGAAAUUCUUGGAUUUAUUGAAGACUAACUACUGCGAAAGCAUUUGCCAAGGAUGUUUUCAUUAAUCAAGGACGAAAGUUAGGGGAUCGAAGACGAUCAGAUACCGUCGUAGU
This 450-nucleotide ribosomal RNA is filed under the name uncultured Glomeromycotina. Its description in RNAcentral is "SSU rRNA". It matches the Rfam family "Eukaryotic small subunit ribosomal RNA", at positions 569 to 1024 of the family's 1831-position model. The record is from RNAcentral. Lineage: Eukaryota; Fungi; Glomeromycota.